AAAAAGAUAAGCUAAACAAAGCUAAUGGGUUCAUACCCCGUCUAUGAAUAUUUUUUUUCUCUUUUUA
RNAcentral lists this transfer RNA (67 nucleotides) under Polycheles coccifer. RNAcentral's name for it is "tRNA-Met". The record is from RNAcentral. Lineage: Eukaryota; Metazoa; Arthropoda; Malacostraca; Decapoda; Polychelidae.